Molecule: long non-coding RNA, 487 nt
Filed under: Helianthus annuus (common sunflower)
Lineage: Eukaryota; Viridiplantae; Streptophyta; Magnoliopsida; Asterales; Asteraceae
Description: sRNA HanXRQr2_Chr09g0394671
Source: RNAcentral
AUGCCAAAUUCUACAGAAAAACACAAUACAAAUUUUUAUCUGAAUCUAAAACUUGCCUUCCAUUGUAUCGACCCUUCGUAUAAGCAGGUGCCUCCAUUAUCGUUUCUUCCAUAACAAGUAAAGGUUUCGUCACUUCCGUAAAGGGUUUUGCAGUUGCAUCAACAUCUAAGGUUUUCAGAUCUGAGCGGAUCAGGUUUUGGACGGAAAGACAAGCCGGAACGACGAUCGGAGAAGCUAAAAAUUCCAAUUUUUCUUCUGCGGCGGUGGAGUGGUUGCGGUAGGCGGUAGAGUGGUGGUGGUGGGCGGCAAUUGUGGUGGUGGUGGUGUGGGUUUGAGAUGAAUCAUAAAAGAGAAAGACGUACUGCGUUUUUUAGAUCUAGGGUUUUCAUGAGACUAAUUUGUGUUUGACUAAAAUGCCCCUCCUGAUGUUUUUUCUUUUUGUCACAUGUCAUAAUCCUAUUGCUUCCUAUCCUUCCUAGCCAAAAUA